RNAcentral lists this ribosomal RNA (352 nucleotides) under uncultured bacterium. RNAcentral describes it as "partial 16S ribosomal RNA". It matches the Rfam family "Bacterial small subunit ribosomal RNA", at positions 338 to 682 of the family's 1533-position model. The record is from RNAcentral.
CCUACGGGGGGCAGCAGUGGGGAAUAUUGCGCAAUGGGCGAAAGCCUGACGCAGCGACGCCGCGUGAGGGAUGAAGGUCUUCGGAUCGUAAACCUCUGUCAGCAGGGAAGAACGGUCACUGUGCUAAUCAGCAGUGAAUUGACGGUACCUGCAAAGGAAGCACCGGCUAACUCCGUGCCAGCAGCCGCGGUAAUACGGAGGGGGCGAGCGUUAAUCGGAAUUACUGGGCGUAAAGCGCACUGAGGCGGUAUGUCAAGUCAAGGGUGAAAUCCCCGCGCUCAACGUGGGAACUGCCUUUGAAACUGGCAAACUGGAGUGUGUGAGAGGAUAUUGGAAUUCCAGGUGUAGGCGU